AUUGAACGCUGGCGGCAGGCCUAACACAUGCAAGUCGAGCGGAUGAAGGGAGCUUGCUCCUGGAUUCAGCGGCGGACGGGUGAGUAAUGCCUAGGAAUCUGCCUGGUAGCGGGGGAUAACGUCCGGAAACGGGCGCUAAUACCGCAUACGUCCUGAGGGAGAAAGUGGGGGAUCUUCGGACCUUACGCUAUCAGAUGAGCCUAGGUCGGAUUAGCUAGUUGGUGGGGUAAAGGCCUACCAAGGCGACGAUCCGUAACUGGUCUGAGAGGAUGAUCAGUCACACUGGAACUGAGACACGGUCCAGACUCCUACGGGAGGCAGCAGUGGGGAAUAUUGGACAAUGGGCGAAAGCCUGAUCCAGCCAUGCCGCGUGUGUGAAGAAGGUCUUCGGAUUGUAAAGCACUUUAAGUUGGGAGGAAGGGCAGUAAGUUAAUACCUUGCUGUUUUGACGGUACCAACAGAAUAAGCACCGGCUAACUUCGUG
Molecule: ribosomal RNA, 484 nt
Filed under: uncultured bacterium
Lineage: Bacteria
Description: partial 16S ribosomal RNA
Rfam family: Bacterial small subunit ribosomal RNA
Source: RNAcentral